GGGGGGUGCAAGCGUUUGUUCGGAAUUAUUGGGCGUAAAGCGCGUGUAGGCGGUUUGCUAAGUCUGGCGUGAAAGCCCGGGGCUCAACCCCGGAAGUGCGCUGGAUACUGGUCGACUAGAGGACGGGAGGGGGAAGCGGAAUUCCUGGUGUAGGGGUGAAAUCCGUAGAUAUCAGGAGGAACACCGGUGGCGAAGGCGGCUUCCUGGCCCGUAACUGACGCUGAGAUGCGAAAGCGUGGGGAGCAAACAGGAUUAGAUACCCUGGUAGUCCACGCCCUAAACGAUGGAUACUAGAUGUCGGAAUUCCUAAUAGUUUCGGUGUCGUAGCUAACGUAUUAAGUAUCCCGCCUGGGGAUUACGAUCGCAAGAUUA
This 372-nucleotide ribosomal RNA is filed under the name uncultured organism. Its description in RNAcentral is "partial 16S ribosomal RNA". It matches the Rfam family "Bacterial small subunit ribosomal RNA", at positions 527 to 896 of the family's 1533-position model. The record is from RNAcentral.